UUUUAAAAUCAUUGAUUUUCCUCAUUGAGUCAACGUUGAUAUUGCUCGUUUUCAAAAAAUACAAAAAAAUUAAGAAAAAUCAAAUUUACAAAAAAAAAUAAAGUUGAGGGACCAAUUUUGAGGCCCAAACAACAUUUUACCUAUAAAUAUGAGUCCACAACUCACACAAAAGGAGAAGUAAUUUUGCACAUUUGAGAAAAACACAAAAAAACCCUAACCUAAACCUAUCUCUUAAAAAAACCAAAGCCGCAGCCUCCCCCUAGCUGGAAUUGUUUUUCUCUUCCACACCGUAGCCCUAUUUUCUUCUUCCUUAGCCGCUCCCUUUCCCCAGCCGCAACCUCUACUUUUGGAUUUUUUGCCUUCAUCCCCUACACCCGAAAACCCCCAACUCCCUUUUGUUUUCCCCUCAGCUGACCGAAACCUUCAGCCUUCCACCAUCUCUUUCCCCCACAGACAAACCAACCCAACUCCUCCACAAUACAGACCCAGCUCCUCCAUCCAACAGCCCCGCAACCAUCACCAAAUUCCCUCUCCUAAAACCACAACUUCCCAGCCUCCCUUCACACAGGCCUUCCUCUCAACGUCGUGCUUCUCAUCUCUCGACCGACCCAGCUUUCUCUCCUUCACCCGACCUCCAGCAGCGGCAGUUUCUGCCCACAGUCGACAGACCCAACUUUCUCUCCUUCACCCGACCUCCAGCAACGGCAGUUUCUGCCCACAGCUGACAGACCCAGCUUUCUCUCCUUCAACCGACCACAAGCAGCACCACAGAACCGCCUUAUCUCCCCCGACCAGAGAACGGGCAGAGCCAUUCCCCAUCUCUUCAGACCCACGGCUCCCUAUUCAACCAGCAGUUCUUUCCUUCCUCAGCCGCCGUGCACACCGGCCAGCGGCAGCCCUUUAUCCUUCAGCGGCGCCCACAGAAGCAGCCCCACUUCCAACCGAGAACUGACGGUCGGAUCUGCAACCAGCAGAGAGCAACGAACCUAGAGAAAGAGAGAAGCCAGAAGAGAUCAAAUAAAAAAAAGGGGGGAAGAACCGAGACUUUGCUUGCAGUUUUUUCUUCUUUGCAGGUGACGUUAUUCCUACUGCCAAUGCAGAAGGGAAGAGGAGACAGAGUCUAGCCGGAUCCACCAGUUGUUUGGGGUUGUCUGUGGCAGCGCGUGGAACAGAUGCGCCGCCACGGGUCCUGCAGUUCCAGAAGUGUUCCUCUACAAUUCCUGAAUUUUUUAGGGGCUAUUUUGUAAAUUUGAAAUUGUGUGAUGUAAUUUUUGUUUAGUUGUUUUGAAUUUGUAUUUUGAAAUGUGGAUCUAAAAAAAAACAAAAGAAAAGAAGAAGGAAAAAAAUAUAGUAAAAGUGUAUGUGUGUGUUUGUAUGCUUUUUAUGGAUGUUUUUUUAUGAUAAAAUUGCAAAGAUUAAAGAAGAAUUUAAUAUUUUGAUUUGCUCAUGGUCAAGAAUUAUGAACUUACACAUAAGUCGUAUUUCUAAUAUCCGAUGAAAAGAAAAAAAAUUUAAAACUUCUUUAACACAUCAAAGCCACGAAGCAGCUUACCUCAGGUAGGGUGCGUUAGGGGUUCUAAUACCUUCCCUAACCACAACCAGUCCCUUACUCGUGAAUCUUUGACAAGACCAGUACACUAGGGUUUCCUAGUAACCCUCAAUAAAUACUAGGUGGCAACUCCCAAAGAAAGAAAUCAAUCAAUCAAAAUCGAAAAAUCGCCAACCGAUGUCGUGCGAGUGACGUGCGACAUAAUGACAACUCCACUAGGGAAGGUACUGUUUCUGACAAUACUGGAUUAAGCUUUGUGUAUUUGAUGUGUUUAAGUUUUUUGCAUUUUUGUCUUGUUUUAUUUUUGUUUUAUCCAUGCAUUUUUAGAAUUGUUUCAUGCAUCACCUGUAUUUAUUUUUGAAAGCACACACAAGCUUCUAAGUUAGGUGGUGAAUUAACGAUCUGCCCUAUGACUAUUGGUCAGGGUUCAGAUACGUGAAAAACCUAACUCAUAUCUGAGUGUCUGCUUGGUAAUGAUGGGUAUACGUGCCUUAACCAUUUCUUGCAACGCCCCUAUAUUGUCUUUACGAAAAUCAUCACUGGGCAGAUAUGAGACCCUUUUGAGACCAGGUAGAAAACCUACACAUGUUCACAUAAUGAAUAGAACCUGUUCUUAGGUUGUAUGUGCUAUUUUUAUUUGCAUCAGGGCAAACCCUUCUUGAAGCAUCUUGAACUCAAGACUUAUGGGUGACACAAUGACCGUCACGCAGAAAAUUUUCAUUGUAGAGUUUGGGGCAAGAAUCAAGAUUCUUGCUUCAUCAUGCAAGAGUUACGAUCAUAUGUCACCCCUCGAAGGGCGAGUUCAUCAUAUAGACUACAUGUUCAUACAUUUAUCAUGCAUGCACCGAGAUGAAAAGUAGGUCCCCUACAAGUCUGCAACACCUGACUUGGAGUCUCUGAAGAAAAGCUUGACUCGCCUCUAGCUUACUCGAGCAAAUACAUAGAAAUAACUCAAGGGAAGUUCCUUUCAACCGACCUAUCAUCUUUGUUCAAACCCCAACAACGACUCAACCUGAAAAAAUUGGGGGCAAACAUGGUCAAGAGCCUCAACACAAUCCAGCAUUUCUGCAAAAGCUUUUAUAGGAAGGCUGACCAAAGGGGAAUUGCACCACCAUUGCAGAAUGGAGCCUGUUCUUGUUCUGCCAAAAAAUAACUACCUCUGUUCGAUCAUGCCUGCAAAACUUCUUGAUUUUUGUUUCAACCUGUUCCAGUUUUUAUUGGUAAUUUGGCUCAAAAUUCCACAAGACUUUCCCUGUCCAAUAAGCCUUUCUUGUUAAUAAGAUCAUGUGUUUUGCUGUGUUCAUGACAUGCCUUCAUUUUUGUUGUUGUUUCAUGCAAAUAACACAUUGAGCAUAACCUUUAAACAUGAAACCAUUGUGCCGAAAAUCUUAUGGUGUGUUUCUCUUUUCUUCCUAAAUUAUGCAUGAUCUCACAUAUUCACAAGGAUUUUUAGGAAUUCAAAGUUUAGUACAAAAACAGAAAUCAUGUUGGUGUUUGUCCAAAACAAACGAGUUCUGGAAAUUCAAAUGAUUCCUUAGAGAGGUAAUGUAAUAGUCCCGACAUAAUCAAUGUUAUAAGAUUCCAACAUAUCCUCUUUAUUUGAGGGUAAAUUUUUUUUUUUUUCAAAAUUUCGGCAGAGUUUCGUUUGCAUUUAGGACAUCCCAAGUUAUCGACUACUAUCAGUUUACUUAAACGACCCAUCAUCACAAGGUCCCUUAAUUCCGGACCUCAUAUCAAACCUCAUAAUUCCACACCUCAUACAAUCCACACAAUAUAUAUCCUACGAGUAAGUUCAAUAUGAACAUAGACCAACACAAUUAUAUCAUAAAAUUUAAAGGAAAAGGAAUACUAACAUGCAAAGAAAGUAUUUACAAUAUAAGAAGUGUUCUUAGAUAUUUCAAAAGGGUUAAUUACAAGAUAACUAAAAUACUACAUGUUAAGCUGAACCUUUAUAAAUACAUCAAGGCUUGCACAAAAGUAUACUACAUAAACAUGUUAAUUUCCUUUUGUUUUAAGUUAAAUAUUUACAUAAAUUUUGCAAGGUAGAGUCCUAAACUAAUGAUCUUCCUGGAUGUUUGAUGGACAUGUUACAUAAAUAAACAUACCAUUAUGUUGAUAAAGAAUAUAUGUAUGCUCAUGUAAUGAAUACGAAUGAAGUAUUAACUUUCUAUCGAAUCCAUAAGAAUUCUAACAAAGAACUUAUAUUUUGCUUGUAAAUCUUUUAAACCCAAUUAACACCCAUUUGUAUAUUCUUAAUUGAAUAAUCUUAUUUACUUGCAUAAACUGGGUGACCUUGCAAGCUAAUCGUGUAAAUCAUAUCCCGGCAAUCCCAUCACGGAUGCCAUUAGCCGAAGCUAAUCGUGUAAAUCAUAUCCCAGCAAUCCCAUCACGGAUGCCAUUAGCAAUCAUAUCCUGGCAAUCCCAUCACGGAUGCCAGUAGCCGAAGCUAAUCAUGUAAGUCAUAUCGCGGCAAUCCCAUCAUGGAUGCCAUUAGCCGAAGCUAAUCAUGUAAAUCAUAUCCCGACAAUCCCAUCAUUGAUGCCAUUAGCCGAAGCUAAUCAUGUAAAUCAUAUCCCGGCAAUCCCAUCACGGAUGCCAUAGCCGAAGCUAAUCUUGUAAAUACACUAGGCUUUAUUUACAUUGAACACGAUAUUUAUUAUAAUUGCAUUCACCAGAAGGAUUCUAAAUUGUAUAAGUGCAAAUAGGAGGGAAAAUCACGCACCUGUUUCGCCUAUCUCGCGACCUCCCCUAACAAAAGAUCCGAUCCUGGUUGCUCCUCCUGAAUCACAAGGAAGUUUUUUUUUUGUUAUGAUUCUUUCAAGCCGAUAUUAUAGAGAAUUCAUAUUCAUCCAUUACUCAUAUGUUACUUUCUAUGCAUGUUCAUUUCCUCAUAAUAACAUACAUACAUAUAUCAUGUAUAUUUUCAGAGUUAAUAUCUCAAUACACAAGUGUUAGUAUGACUCAAUUCUUUUAUAUUCUUAUUUAUAGUAUUAACAUGAAAGUCUACUGUUACUGUCCAAUUUCCAACUGUUACUGUUUGACUUUGAACUGUUACUGUUUGACUUUUCCAACCGUUACUGUCUGACUUUUCCAACCGUUACUGUCUGACUUUGAACUGUUACUGUCCAAUUUCUAACUGUUACUGUCUGAACACUCAUCAGAUUUUUAACUAUAUCUAAAGUUCUAAAACUCCAUUUUAACUGAGAUUGAUCUCGUUGGAAAGCUAAGACACGAGGCUACUAGUUCUCUGAGAGAGGAGAACCCAGUUUUGCUUACAAGAUAGUCAAAAUUGCUCAUUUACUAAUUAGUCCUACUGCCCUACAUAAUCAGUCACGACUCAGUCUCAGUUGGUAACCCAUAACUGGAGUUCUACAUUUCCAAAUUGAGCAAGACCAGUUUUCUUAGUUAGCUAACAUUCAAAUCUACAAUUUCUAUGAGGAACCUGAUCCUAAUCCCCUCAUCCUCCUACCCGACAUCUCAUCGAAAGUUAGGAGACAAGUCUGUCCAGACUCGUCUCCCCCUUCCCUUCACACAAUACUUUCAUAAACUACAUACCACACACAUGAAUUAACUUAAUCUCAAUAAUAAGUAUGUUUUUCCCCAAUUUAUGUCUAAGAACCCUAACCUAUAAUUCAAUAUCAAGGCAUCAAUUCUUUAUCGAAUUUAAAAAAUGAUUUUUUUUUAGAUCAAGUUUAGAAUACCUUACCCGGUACAAAUUAAGAUUUUGAUCUUCAACCAGUUGAAGAUUCUCAACUCCCUCUUUUCUUUUCUUCUUGUUCAAUUCCCCUCCUGUCUUUUCUUCUUGUUCAAUUUCUUGGUAAUCCUUUGCUCUCAAGUGUUUAUCCCAUCUUUAAGCUCUUAAUCUUGGAUGGGUUCUUAAAAUUCUAGUGUUUCUCUCUUGAUUUCUCGAGAAUGGGUAUAAAACUCCCUAUUUUCUCUCCUUAUGUUCCUACAGAUUUUUUUUUUGAUGAGGAGAGAGUAUUUAUACUCUAUAUUUUCCCUUAUUUACAUUUAGACCCCCUUUUUUUUCCUUUAAGUGCAUUAUUCUCUUCAAUUAAAUCUAACCCUCAACAGUACCAGGUUUAUUAUAAUGUCUCGAAUUAUUUUGCCCAGAAAUUUAUAUUCAAAAAUUUCUGAAUUUCUGUUUUUAUUUAAUCAUAUACGUGAAUUUCUUCACUUUUAUUUAUUUAUUAUUUUUUUUUCCCAGGGUUUACAUUCUCCCCUCCUAAUAGAAAUUUCGUCCUCGAAAUUUAAGUGAUGUACCUGAGUUUAUAAACAAGUCGAGGAAUUUUCGUCUCAUUUCUGAUUCUCUCUCCCAUGUUUCUUCCUCAAUUUGUGAGCUUCGCCAUAAGACUCUGAUGAUGGGAACUUUCUUAUUACGAAGUUCUUUCUCGCCCCAUUUGAGUAUCUUUAUCGGUCUCACCUCAAGUUUUAAGUCUUCUUUUACCUCCACUGGCACUUGAGGUAACACUCUCGAAGGGUCUACAUCGGCUUUUCACAGCAAAGAAACAUGGAAUACAUUGUGAACCUUGGCCAACUGUGAGGGCAAGUUUAUUUCAUAAGCUACAGGUCCGAUACAUUUUCGGAUUUCGAAUGGUCCAAUGAACCUCGGAGCUAACUUCCCCUUCAUGCCGAAUCUCAGCAUGUGCUUCCAUGGAGCUACCUUCAGAAAUACUUUAUCUCUAGGACAAAAUUCAAGUGGUCUUCUUCGAAUAUCUGCAUACUUCUUCUGUCUAUCCUGAGCCACUUUCAUUCGAUCCUUAAUGAUCCUCACUUUUUUAGUAGUGAUUUGUAUUAAUUCCGCUCCAUACAACUUUCUGUACCCAACUUCUUCCCAACACAAGGGUGUCCUACACUUUCUGCCAUAAAGAGCUUCAAAAGGGGCCAUUCCAAUUGUUGUCUGAUAACUGUUGUUAUACGUGAAUUCUACUAGUGACAAGUGCUCCUCCCAGUUUCCACCAAAUUCCAAAGCACAUGCUCUAAGUAAAUCUUCUAAGAUCUGAAUAACUCUCUCAGAUUGGCCAUCAGUCUGCGGAUGAAAGGCAGUACUGAUACUCAAAUUUGUCCCCAAGGCACGUUGUAUGCUCGGCCAGAGACGUGAAGUAAAUCUUAGGUCUCGGUCUGAAACAAUUGAUAUUGGGACUCCAUGAAGCCUUACAACUUCGUUCACAUAAAUCUUAGCCAACUUGUCGACUGGAUCUGUCAUCUUUACUGGUAGGAAAAGGGCAGACUUAGUUAGUCGAUCCACCAUGACCUAGAUUGCAUCAUUUCCCCUCUUUCCUCUGGGUAGUCUCGACACAAAGUCCAUUGUGAUCAUCUCCCACUUCCACUCAGGGAUUGGUAAUGGUUGUAACAGCCCUGCCGGUUUUCGGUGUUCUACUUUUACUUGUUGGCAAAUACUACACUUUGCCACAUAACCAACCACUUUUUUUCUCAUAUUUGGCCACCAGUAGUACUGCUUCAUAUCCUGGUACAUCUUAGUACUACCUGGAUGUACAAUGAACUUAGACUCGUGAGCUUCUCGUAGUAACUUUUGUUUAAGGGCUUGGUUGUCAGGCACAUACAUACGUCGCCCCAACAUCACUAUUCCAUCAUCACCCAUUCGAAAAAGAGUUUCACCCCCCGAUUCCAGUUUGAUUCUCACUUUUGACACCUCAUCAUCAUGCUGUUGUGCCUCUAAUAUUUGCUCUCGAUAUCCUGACUUCACCCUUAGUUGAGCCAUCAAGGAUCCUUCCGGACUCACACCUAAUAUUGCCCCUAAUCUCUUUAGCUCAAUCAUGGUUCCCUCAUUCCAAGUCGUUGGUCCACUCCUAAUCACUUUGUCUUUACGACUGAGAGCAUCCGCGACGACAUUCGCUUUUCCUGGAUGAUAAUCUAUAAUACAGUCGUAGUCUUUAAUUAAUUCUACCCAUCUUUGUUAUCGCAUAUUCAACUCCUUCUGCGACAUCAGAUAUUUAAGGCUCUUAUGAUCCGUGAAAAUUUGGACCUGGGAUCCGUAUAGGUAGUGCCUCCAUACUCGUAAAGCAAAAACUACUGCUGCCAAUUCUAAGUCAUGAACUAGAUAGUUGACUUCAUGAGUCUUCAGUUGUCUCGAUGCAUAGGCAACUACUUUUCCAUGUUGCAUUAGAACACAACCCAGUCCUUUUCUUGAGGCAUCACUGUAGACUACAAAGCCUUCUGUUUCGGAUGGAAGGAUUAGUAUGGGGGCAGUAGUAAGCCUUCUCUUCAAUUCUUGAAAGCUCUCAUCGCACUCUUUUGACCACUCCCAUCUUAUGUUUUUCCUGGUGAUUCGUGUUAAUGGAGUUGCUAUCGUUGAAAACCCUUCGAUAAAUCUUCUAUAAUACCCUGCCAAUCCGAGAAAACUACGUAUUUCAGUUACCGUAGUAGGCCUUUCCCAUCUCAAAACUGCUUCCACCUUCUGAGGGUCCACAAAAAUGCCUUUUGAAGACACUACAUGCCCCAAAAAGGUAACUUCUUUUAACCAGAAGUCACAUUUAUCCAACUUGGCAUACAACUGGCGGCUCCUCAGAGUCUGUAGUGUCUGUCUCAGGUGUUGUUCAUGCUCCUCAUAGGAUUUGGAAUAAACCAAGAUGUCAUCGAUGAAUACGACAACAAACUUAUCAAGGUAUGGUUGGAAUACUCGGUUCAUUAAAUCCAUAAAAAGUGUUGGAGCAUUAGUUAAUCCAAAGGGUAGAACUAAGAACUCAAAGUGUCCGUAGCGAGUUCUGAAGGCAGUUUUCAGCACAUCUUGCCCCUUGAUUCGCAUUUGGUAGUAUCCUGAUCUUAAAUCAAUCUUUGAGAAUACUUUGGCACCCUUCAACUGAUGGAACAAAUCAUCUAUUCGCGGAAGUGGAUAUCUGUUCUUUACCGUUACUUUAUUCAGCUGACGGUAAUCUAUGCAAAGCCUCAACGUUCCAUCCUUCUUCUUCACAAAUAAUACAGGUGCCCCCCAAGGUGAGUUGCUUGGUCGUAUGAAUCCUUUGUCUAAAAGCUCCUGCAAUUGAAUUUUUUACUCAUCCAAUUCUUUUGGGGCCAUUCUAUACGGUGGUUGGGCUAUAGGAGACACCCUAGGCAAUAUAUCUAUAAUGACUUCAACUUCUCUUUCUGGGGGUAGUCCUGGCAAUUCUUCCGGAAAUACAUCCGGAAAUUCCCUCACAAUUGGAAUGUCGGACAGUCCUAUUUUACCCUUUUCUAAAUUUAUCACAUAGGCAAGGUAUGCUGUACAACCUUUCUUUAGUAGUUUUCUCGCAACCAUACCCGAGAUCAUAUUUGGAAAGUUGGAAGUUCUCUCCCCCUAUUGUUUCACCCUUAGCCCCUUGGAAGGUUACUGUUUUUGUAAAGCAGUCUAAACGAGCCUUAUUUUUGCCCAACCAAUUCAUACCUAGAAUUAUAUUAAAAUCACUUAAUUCUAGGGGUAUUAAAUCUGCUUUUAGUUCACACCCAUUAAUGUUAAUUCCCACCCCUUCAAAUACAACAUUUGUUUCCACAGUUUCACCCAAAGGUGUCCCAAUAACAAAUCCUUUUUCUACCCUUUUUGUUUCCUUACUCAAUUUGGUUACAUUUUUAUUUGCUAUAAAGGAGUGAGUGGCACCAGAAUCAAACAAAACAUGCAUUUGAUAGUCAUUCAUCUGCAGCAUACCUGCCACUACAUCUGAUGUUGCUCUGACAUCCUCCUGGGUCAUAUGGAAAACCCUUCCUUGAUCCCUUUCAUUUUGCACUCUGGGUCAUCCCCUAUUUGAGUUAGCUCCUGACUGAGUUGACCUUCCCGGUCUAUUUACUGUGAUAGACUGCUGAUGACUCUGACUUUGCUGCCUAUGUCUCUGAGGCUGUUCAGUGUUUAACUGGGGGCAUUCCCUUUUAAAGUGACCCUUCUCACCACAGUGAUGACAUCCUCUUCCCAAGUACUGACAGGUUUUCCACUUAUGACCUUCUCCUCGACAUAUAUAGCAUUGUCCAGGAGAAACCAUACAACUACCAGGGUGUCUUUGUUCACACUGAGCACAUCGAGGGUAGCCAAUUUCCUUCUGAUCAUUAUGCCCCCUUGCAGCUAUAACCCUAGAGCGGGUCUGACCACUUCCCGACCUCCCACUGAUAUCCUGUCGGAAGCUAGUUGAUGUCCCCCCUUUCUUUUUGAAUUGAAGGAACUGUUCGCCUCUACCUUUCUUUGGAAGUGGUGGCCUGCCUAAAAAUUCCAUAUCCUUUCGUUUUCUUGCACCCCCAUGACUCUGUUGGCCUUCUUCCAUACAAGCCUCCAAGGCCUGUGCUGCUUCAAUCAGUUCCCUUACUGUCUUGAAUUGCAAAGCAAUCAACCCCUGCUUCAAUUCUUGUCUGAAGCCAUCCCUUAACUUUUCUAUCAUGUGUUGUUCUGAUGGGACAUAAUGUGGUGCGAAUAGUGAGAGAUCAUGAAAUCGUCUCUCAUACUCGAGUACGGACAUUCCCUCCUGUCUCAAAGCUAGGAAUUCUUGUUCCUUCAUCUUUCGAUGAUAUUUGGAGUAAUAUUGAUUCUCAAACUCUAUCUUGAAGUCAUCCCAGGAUAGGGUUUUUGUAGCCCUCCUCAACUGAACUGUCUCCCACCAAGUCAUAGCACCGUCUGAUAGUAAUUGAGUAGCACAAUCUACCCGCAGAUCAUGUGGUAUCUUAAUUUGAAUCAUGGUUUUCUCCACCUUUCUAAUCCACUUUCCCGCCACUUCAGCAUUCUGUUCACCUGAGUAGGGUUCACAACCCAUUUCUCUCAUACUUUUCACCAAACGAACUAGUUGUACCACGUUAUUAAUAGUUGUAGCUGCUUCUGAAACGGUUGGUAUGAUGGGUGCAGGUGGGGGUGCUGGCAUAGGAGUGGCAGCAUUAGCCAUACCUUCCAUUACUACUUUGACUAGCUGGGCCAAGAGCAUCGGAUCAACAUAAGAAACAGAUGGCCCUGCAGGUGUAGUCUGAGGGGGCUCCUCUACUCGUUCCCGCGGGGCUGACGUGGUCGGCCGAACAUCCCCAGUUUGCCUUGGUGCCUGUCUAAUUUGAGGCCCCGACGAUUCUUCAUGCCCUGCUUGAGUCGAUACUACCGGUGCAUGUGAAGCAGUAUCUUCCAAAGGGCUCUCUUCUUGCUCCUCGGAAAAGUCUAUAUUUCUAUUCCCCCUCCCUGCAGAGGAUAGAUCUGUUCUAAUCUCUUGACGGGUACGUACCAUCCUGCAAUAAAUUAAUGAACAUCAACAAUCCUUUUUGAUUUCUUCCCAGAACCUAUACCAGGGCUCUGAUACCAACUGUAAUAGUCCCGACAUAAUCAAUGUUAAGAGAUUCCAACGUAUCCUCUUUAUUUGAGGGUAAAUUUUUUUUUUUUUUCAAAAUUUCGGCAGAGUUUCGUUUGCAUUUAGGACAUCCCAAGUUAUCGACUACUAUCAGUUUACUCAAACGACCCAUCAUCACAAGGUCCCUUAAUUCCGGACCUCAUAUCAAACCUCAUAAUUCCACACCUCAUACAAUCCACACAAUAUAUAUAUAUAUAUAUAUAUAUAUAUAUAUAUAUCCUAUGAGUAAGUUCAAUAUGAACAUAGACCAACACAAUUAUAUCAUAAAAUUUAAAGGAAAAGGAAUACUAACAUGCAAAGAAAGUAUUUACAAUAUAAGAAGUGUUCUUAGAUAUUUCAAAAGGGUUAAUUACAAGAUAACUAAAAUACUACAUGUUAAACUAAACCUUUAUAAAUACAUCAAGGCUUGCACAAAAGUAUACUACAUAAACACGUUAAUUCCCUUUUGUUUUAAGUUAAAUAUUUACAUAAAUUUUGCAAGGUAGAGUCCUAAACUAAUGAUCUUCCUGGAUGUUUGAUGGACCUGUUACAUAAAUAAACAUACCAUUAUGUUGAUAAAGAAUAUAUGUAUGCUCAUGUAAUGAAUACGAAUGAAGUAUUAACUUUCUAUCGAAUCCAUGAGAAUUCUAACAAAGAACUUAUAUUUUGCUUGUAAAUCUUUUAAACCCAAUUAACACCCAUUUGUAUAUUCUCAAUUGAAUAAUCUUAUUUACUUGCAUAAACUGGGUGACCUUGCAAGCUAAUCGUGUAAAUCAUAUCCCAGCAAUCCCAUCACGGAUGCCAUUAGCCGAAGCUAAUCAUGUAAGUCAUAUCGCGGCAAUCCCAUCACGGAUGCCAUUAGCCGAAGCUAAUCAUGUAAAUCAUAUCGUGGCAAUCCCAUCACGGAUGCCAUUAGCCGAAGCUAAUCAUGUAAGUCAUAUCCCGACAAUCCCAUCACGGAUGCCAUUAGCCGAAGCUAAUCAUGUAAGUCAUAUCCCGGCAAUCCCAUCACGGAUGCCAUUAGCCGAAGCUAAUCUUGUAAAUACACUAGACUUUAUUUACAUUGAACACAAUAUUUAUUAUAAUUGUCAGAUUGUUGUUACACCACCAUCUCUUAGGUAGUGCGUUUUCUAACCCUGCCUCUUUUCGAGUGCGCCUUUGAGCCCUCACCUCCUUUCAAGUGCGCCUUUGAGCCACCACUUCUCAAGAAGUGCGUUUUCUAACCCUGCCUCAUUUCGAGUGCGCCUUCGAGCCCUCAAUUCUCAGGUAGUGCGUUUUCUAACCCUACCUCCUUUCAAGUGCGCCUUUGAGCCACCAUUUCUCAAGUAGUGCGUUUUCUAACCCUACCUCCUUCCAAGUGCGCCUUUGAGCCACCAUCUCUUGGUAGUGCGUUUUCUAACCAUACCUCCUUUCAAGUGCGCUUUUGAGCCCUCACCAAUAUUUUUCAUGGUAGGUCACCCAUUACAACAUGACCAAUUCUCCAUAUUUUUUUUAUCUGAGUAGGUCACCCAUUACAAUGAGGCCAUUCUUCCACUUGGGUAGGUUGUACAAUGAGACCAACAUUUUUUUGGGAAGGUCACCCAUUACAACGCGACCAAUUCUCCAUGUUUUUUUAAUCUGGGUAGGUCACCCAUUAUAAUGAGGCCAUUCUUCCACUUGGGUAGGUCACCCAUUACAAUGAGACCACUCUUUCCUUUUUUCUUGGGUAGGUCACCCAUUACAAUGAAACCACUCUUUCCUUUUUCCUUGGGUAGGUCACCCAUUACAAUGAGACCAACAUUUUUCUAGGUAGGUCACCCAUUACAACGCCACCAAUUCUCCAUAUUGUUUUAUCUGGGUAAGUCACCCAUUACAAUGAGGCCAUUCUUCCACUUGGGUAGGUCACCCAUUACAAUGAGAGCACUCUUUCCUUUUUCCUUGGGUAGGUCACCCAUUACAACGCGACCACUUCUCCAUGUUGUUUUAUCUAGGUAGGUCACCCAUUACAAUGAGGUCAUUCUUCCACUUGGGUAAGUCACCCAUUACAAUGAGACCACUCUUUCCUUUUUCUUGGGUAGGUCACCCAUUACAAUGAGACCACACUUCACAUUCUUUUGUUUUGGUUAAAGGAGGUCGCCAAAUGGGAUCUUAGGUAGCUUUGGUUAAAGGGAAUCGCCAUAUGGGAUUUCAGGUUAACCGAGCUAUAUAUAUUUUUUUGUUCUUGUUAAAGGAGGUCGCCAGAUGGGAUCUCAGGUAGCAUCGGUUAAAGGGAAUCGAAUUGAGCUACACAUAUUUUUUUUAUUCUAGUUGAAUGAAGUUGCCAGAUGGGAUCUCAGGUAGCAUCGGUUAAAGGGAAUCGCCAGAUGGGAUUUCAAGUUGACCGAGCUACACAUAUUUUUUUUGUUCUAGUUGAAUGAGGUUGCUAGAUGGGAUCUCAGGUAGCUUUGGUUAAAGGGAAUCGCCAGAUGGGAUUCCAGGUUGACUGAGCUACACACAUUCUUUGGUUUUGGUUAAAGGAGGUCGCCAGAUGGGAUCUCAGGGUUAACAGAAAAAGAAGAGAGAGAAAAAAAAGAGAGAGAAAGGAGAGAGAAAAGAGAAGGAAAAGAGAAAGAAAUAGAAAAAAAAAAGAAGGUCUUUAGAUGAGUGGAUAUUCAAUAAGUUAGGAAGAUAAGAAGACAAGUUUUCUUUACAAAGCUUACUAUGCAAAACAUUGAGGAGUUUUGCUUCGUAAGCAUUGUAAAGAGAGGGCAUCUGUUGUUACCCAAUUUUUGACCCACCUUUUUGAUAAAAAAAUUUUAAAAAUCCAAAAUAGCGAAAAACAACAAAAAUCCAAAAAAAUAUGUUUUUAAUAUAUUUGCAUCGUUUUUAGCAUUUUCAACGUCGUCUAAAAAACAAUUUAAAUUUUCAAAGGUUUUUGGAACGCGUUCGACUUUUCACGCGUCAUUUUUAAAAUCAUUGAUUUUCCUCAUUGAGUCGACGUUGAUAUUGCUCGUUUUCAAAAAAUACAAAAAAAUUAAGAAAAAUCAAAUUUACAAAAAAAAAAAGAAAGUUGAGGGACCAAUUUUGAGGCCGAAGCAACAUUUUACCUAUAAAUAUGAGUCCACAACUCACACAAAAGGGGGGGCAAUUUUGCACAUUUGAGAAAAACACAAGAAAACCCUAAACCUAAACCUAUCUCUUAAAAAAACCAAAGUCGCAGCCUCCCCCCGGCUGGAAUUUUUUUUUCUCCUCCACACUGUAGCGCCAUUUUCUUCUUCCCUGGCCGCUCCCUUUCCCCAGCCGCAGCCUCUCCUUUUGGAUUUUUUGCCUUCAUCCCCUGCACCCGAAAACCCCCGACUCCCUUUUGUUUUCCCUCAGCUGACCGAAACCUUCAGCCUUCCACCAUCUCUUUCCCCCACAGACCAACCAACCCCAGCUCCUCCACAAUACAGACCCAGCUCCUCCAUCCAACAGCCCCG
Molecule: long non-coding RNA, 14264 nt
Filed under: Populus trichocarpa (black cottonwood)
Lineage: Eukaryota; Viridiplantae; Streptophyta; Magnoliopsida; Malpighiales; Salicaceae
Description: long non-coding RNA (PTRI_LNC001250)
Source: RNAcentral